Molecule: RNA transcript, 1887 nt
Organism: Megalobrama amblycephala (Wuchang bream)
Lineage: Eukaryota; Metazoa; Chordata; Actinopteri; Cypriniformes; Xenocyprididae
Gene: got1l1
Gene name: glutamic-oxaloacetic transaminase 1 like 1
Exons: 8
Source: RefSeq, a predicted model, not a curated record
CGCAUCUAAGCAACAGACAGUAAACAAACCGUUGCACGUUGUCAUUGACAUAGAGCUGGAGAAUGACUUGUGUUUACAGUGGGAAAAGAACGUAAUGCACCAGCACGACAUGUCGACUAGCUCUGUGUUUGAUGGCGCAGUCUUCAUGCCGUCGGAAAUGAAGCUUAUAGAGGAUUUCAAGCGAGACACACACCCUGAUAAAGUGAAUCUUGCUGGGAGGGAGUAUGUUGGAGAGCAUGGACACACCACAUGGCUUCCUCUUGUACGAAAAAUUAAGCAGCAAAUUGCCACAGAUCCAACUAUAAACCCCGAGUACCCACCCAUCCUUGGGAUCCCAGAAUUCACCAGGAGGGCAACUGAGCUUGCAUUGGGCAAAGAUAGCCCCGUCAUUGUUGAAAACAGGGUGUUUGGCGUCCAGACAGUAGGAUGUACUGGAGCAGUUCGUCUGGGCGCUGAGUUACUGAAAUCCUGGUACUGUUCAAGUUCUUCCUGGAGCGGACCCAUCCUGCUCUCCUCUCCCUGUGAUGACUCACUGACAGGCAUCUUUAAGGCAGCAGGGAUUGAGGAUGUGCGACAUUAUCGGUACUGGGAUGCAAAAUCCAAUGAAGUGUGUGUGGAAAACAUGGUGCAUGACUUGGAGAACGCUCCGGAACGGUGUGUAGUGGUUCUGUUUGCCUCAGGCCACCGUCCCACUGGUGCUAAUCUAUCUCAAGAGGACUGGAAACGUGUAGCUGAGGUCAUGAUGAAGCGCCGGUUGUUUCCAUUCUUCUUGAUGUCUGCCCAAGGCUUGUGCAGUGGGUCCCUUGAGCAAGACACCUGGUCUGUUCGUCAUUGUGUGUCUUUGGGGCUUGAACUGCUCUGUGCUCAAUCUUUUUCUCACAGCUUUGGCCUCUAUGGUGAGAGAGUGGGGCAUCUUCUCUGCAUCUUAAAGCAGAACAUGUUGGCCGUGCAAUCUCAAGCUGAGAAACUCGUUCAGACACUUUGGUCCUGCCCACCGAUGGAAGGGGCCAGGGUUGUUGCCACUAUAUUAAGUAAUCCUGCCCAUUUAGUUGAGUGCUGGGUGAACUAUCCCUUCAAGGUGCGGCUACUUUAAGGUGUGUUACUAGACGGCCACUGUUAUGAUUGGUUAACAUUAUUGCAUAGGAAACAGCAUCAACGCCCACUUGCUAUUGCACGUGAGUAAGCGUUUUGAAAACAUUAUCGAUAUAAAACUAUCAUUUACCGACAAAACAUUAUGAAAUCAUUUAUUUAUGGUUUGUGAUGCAGCUGCUGUCAAAUCCAAUACAGUUGUCUGAUUCAUCUUUCAACAAAAGUUUCUUUGUAAACUAUCAUUUACAGACAAAACAUUAUGAAAUCAUUUAUUUAUGGUUUGUGAUGCAGCUGCUGUCAAGUCCGAUACAGUUGUCUGCUUUAUCUUUCAACAAAAGUUUCUUUGUGAACUCUCCAUUACACCAUGCCUUUGUAAUGCUCCAAACAAACAUAUAAUCUUCUGACAUUACGCCAUUAAUAUAAAUCAACCACUUGUUCCUGACGCUCAAAACCUUUUGAAGUCUGUACAGAGAUGCAAAAGAGCUGGAAGCGUCAAAGAGAACAUUCAUUUUCUCUUCCAUUUGUCCUUUUGUCGACAGACUCAAGAGUGUGGAGUAUGUCAGAAGCUGAACGUGCAUCUGUAUACUGUAUCCAGUGUGGACAGCAUCAGUGAUUAUAAUGGGGUUCUAUUUGCUUUUCACGCAGUGCAACUGCAUCUGGUGCAGGAAGGUAUGAAGGCCAUUGCUGAACGCUGCAUGCUAAUCCGAGAACGUCUGCGUGAGAGACUGAGGAUUUUAGGUGGUCCGGAGCGUUGGGAUCACAUAAUAAAACCUGGAGGACUUUAUUGCUGUUUUGGAC